UACGGAGGAUCCGAGCGUUAUCCGGAUUUAUUGGGUUUAAAGGGAGCGUAGGUGGGCUGGUAAGUCAGUUGUGAAAGUUUGCGGCUCAACCGUAAAAUUGCAGUUGAUACUGUCAGUCUUGAGUACAGUAGAGGUGGGCGGAAUUCGUGGUGUAGCGGUGAAAUGCUUAGAUAUCACGAAGAACUCCGAUUGCGAAGGCAGCUCACUGGACUGCAACUGACACUGAUGCUCGAAAGUGUGGGUAUCAAACAGG
Molecule: ribosomal RNA, 253 nt
Filed under: Bacteroides fragilis NCTC 9343
Lineage: Bacteria; Pseudomonadati; Bacteroidota; Bacteroidia; Bacteroidales; Bacteroidaceae
Description: partial 16S ribosomal RNA
Rfam family: Bacterial small subunit ribosomal RNA
Source: RNAcentral